Long non-coding RNA from Phragmites australis (common reed), 1527 nucleotides. RefSeq lists it as uncharacterized. The record is from RefSeq and is a predicted model, not a curated record. The transcript is spliced from 4 exons. NCBI's taxonomy places the organism in Eukaryota, Viridiplantae, Streptophyta, Magnoliopsida, Poales, Poaceae.
CGUCACCUAAAGCUUGUACGUAACAUGAGGGCACAGAGCGACCCGUGGUUUGCGAAAUACCUACUGCGCAUCGGUGGUGGCACUGAGGAGGCCAAUGGUGAUGGCGAUGUGCGUCUUCCUGAUGAGAUAUGCGUGCCGUAUACAGGGGAGGACACUAACCUUGAUAAACUAAUAGACUACGUUUUCCCAAGGCUGGAUGAUAAUAUGUCAGAUCCUAACUACAUCACCUCGAGAGCCAUUUUGUCCACACGGAAUGAUUGUGUGGAUAGGAUUAACAUGAAGAUGAUCAGUCGCUUCCGAGGGGAUGAGAUGGUGUACCAUAGCUUUGAUCGUGCAGAAGACGAUCCCCAUAACUACUAUCCCCCUGAGUUCCUUAACUCGCUGACUCCUAACGGGUUGCCCGCACAUGUGUUGAAGCUCAAGAUUAACUGCCCUGUCAUAUUGCUUAGGAACAUUGACCCUGCGAACGGGCUUUGCAAUGGUACGAGGCUGGUAGUCCGGGGGUUCCAAAGAAACGCCAUCGAUGCAGAGAUUAUGCUGGGGCAACAUGCUGGAAAGAGGAUUUUUCUGCCUCGAAUCCCCUUGUGCCCCUCUGAUGAUGAGAUGUUCCCUUUUCAGUUCAAGAGGAAGCAGUUUCCUGUUAGGCUCAGCUUCGCCAUGACGGUUAACAAGGCACAAGGGCAAACUAUCCCCAACGUCGGUAUUUACCUGCCCGAGCCGGUAUUCUCUCAUGGUCAGUUGUACGUCGCGCUAUCAAGAGCCACAGCCAGAGCUAACGUCAGAGUCCUUGCCUUCCCGUCUGAUGACAAGAAAAGGAAGUGCUCAAAGCACAGUGGUACGUAUACGAGGAACAUCGUCUACAUAGAGGUCCUUACGUCAUAGGCCAACUCCCUUGCAGGUUUAGCACACAUGAUGGGGUUUGUUUAGCCAUCAGAAGAUUGUUAUACAAAUGUUUUUUUUAAUAUCCUGCUUUGAUACUGGUAGUAUGCAAGAGAAUAAUUUUGCUCGAUCCGACACUGGUAGCUAAAUUCAUUGCUUGCUGGAAUGCUUGAUAUUUAGUGUUCACUGUUUAGGUAUUGCAAUAAGAUCUUUGAUGGCUACGCGUGCAGUUAGAUCAAUCUCGAUCAGGUUCAGAAGAAAACAAACCAAAUAGGGUUCCUAAACAGGAGGAUAUGAUGAAACCUGAUUUGCUAGCGAAACAGGAAGAUGACGAAUGUUGUGGUUCUGAUGACAAAUCAAGGGAAUUUUUUUCUGCACUAGAAGAGGAAUUAACAAAGACACCAACACAUUCAGAGCUAAAACCGCCUAGAUAUCCUCUACUUCCAGUUACUUUUCAUGACAGAAGCAUGCUUAGAAAGGCUCCAACUAUGGUUCAGCCUUCAAGUAAGCUUCUAGAUGAGAAGAACACAAUACUAGAACAGAUAAAGAAUAAGUCUUUCAACUUGAAGCCUGUUCUUACAAAGAGACCAAAUGUGAUGGGUGGUCCCAGAACGAAUUUACAAGCGGUGGCCAUUCUAGAGCGUGCCC